RNAcentral lists this ribosomal RNA (475 nucleotides) under uncultured beta proteobacterium. RNAcentral describes it as "bacterial SSU rRNA". It matches the Rfam family "Bacterial small subunit ribosomal RNA", at positions 38 to 506 of the family's 1533-position model. The record is from RNAcentral. Lineage: Bacteria; Pseudomonadati; Pseudomonadota; Betaproteobacteria.
GGCGGCAUGCCUUACACAUGCAAGUCGAACGGCAGCACGGGGGCAACCCUGGUGGCGAGUGGCGAACGGGUGAGUAAUACAUCGGAACGUGUCCUGUAGUGGGGGAUAGCCCGGCGAAAGCCGGAUUAAUACCGCAUACGAUCUACGGAAGAAAGCGGGGGAUCCUUCGGGACCUCGCGCUAUAGGGGCGGCCGAUGGCAGAUUAGCUAGUUGGUGGGGUAAAGGCCUACCAAGGCGACGAUCUGUAGCUGGUCUGAGAGGACGACCAGCCACACUGGGACUGAGACACGGCCCAGACUCCUACGGGAGGCAGCAGUGGGGAAUUUUGGACAAUGGGGGAAACCCUGAUCCAGCAAUGCCGCGUGUGUGAAGAAGGCCUUCGGGUUGUNAAGCACUUUUGUCCGGAAAGAAAACUUCUGCCCUAAUACGGUGGGAGGAUGACGGUACCGGAAGAAUAAGCACCGGCUAACUACGU